AAGGAUGCCCGUGCCGGCAUCUGCGUUGGGAUNNCGGGACCCCGGUCCCGGGCGCACCAACGGCCCGUCCCACCUGCCUCGUCAGCGGGACGGAGCGAGAGCGUACACGUUGGGACCCGAAAGAUGGUGAACUAUGCCUGGGCAGGACGAGGCCAGAGGAAACUCUGGUGGAGGUCCGCAGCGAUUNUGACGUGCAAAUCGAUCGUCAGACCUUGGUAUAGGGGCGAUAGACUAAUCGAACCGUCUAGUAGCUGGUUCCCUCCGAAGUUUCCCUCAGGAUAGCUGGUGCUCGAGUGGAAUCAGUCUCAUCCGAUAAAGCGAAUGAUUAGAGGCCUUGGGGCCGAAACGACCUCAACCUAUUCUCAAACUUUCANUGGGUGAGAAGUCCGGNUUACAU
Molecule: ribosomal RNA, 397 nt
Filed under: Buthacus levyi
Lineage: Eukaryota; Metazoa; Arthropoda; Arachnida; Scorpiones; Buthidae
Description: partial large subunit ribosomal RNA
Rfam family: Eukaryotic large subunit ribosomal RNA
Source: RNAcentral